CGCUUCCUGUGACCAGGCGCCCGGUCCCGCCCCGCGCGGCUCCUGUUCCGGGACGUCUGCUUUCCCCAUCACCGGAGGCUUCCCGGCCAGCCAUUCUCCCGGCGCGGAGGAGCUCACAGAAGCGCCACUGUUCUGCGUUGGCAGCGGCCUGGUCCGACAGCUUGGGCCUGAGCGGCAGACCCAUCCGUCAGGCGGGAAGGAUGGAGCAACGUCCGGCAGCCCGCUCUGAGGACUCCCUGGGGAGCCGCCUCCCGCCCAGGCCCAGACUCUUUCCCUCUUCCCGCCCCCAGCCUGCGCCCACUGCCAGCUCAGAGAUAAGAUUAAACAAGACUUGUGGGCAAACGGAGAAUUCAGCAUGGACAGUGGACUCUUCAGGAGCCUGUGGCCAAGGCAUGCCCAGCUGA
RNAcentral lists this long non-coding RNA (404 nucleotides) under Fukomys damarensis (Damara mole-rat). Its description in RNAcentral is "lncRNA (ENSFDAG00000027795.1)". The record is from RNAcentral. Lineage: Eukaryota; Metazoa; Chordata; Mammalia; Rodentia; Bathyergidae.